This 627-nucleotide long non-coding RNA is filed under the name Triticum aestivum (bread wheat). RNAcentral's name for it is "long non-coding RNA (TAES_LNC020558)". The record is from RNAcentral. Lineage: Eukaryota; Viridiplantae; Streptophyta; Magnoliopsida; Poales; Poaceae.
UGCACUCCAAAGUAAUGCAGGAAUUAGAUAUUUUACAUGGGAAUAAAGUAUUAGGGGAGCCAUGAUUUAUAUACCAACAAAGAGUAUGCAGAUAAUACAACUUUCAUUGAGCCAUUUUUUAUCUGUAUCGAUUUUGAUCCCUGAAAUUUAACCAGAUGCAUCUUGAUCUGUUUUUGAUCCAAGGAAUUCCAGAAACUUGAUGUGAUGAUGGAUUACUUUUAGUCACCCUUCACGGUCACGGCCACCUAUGAAACACAGUGCAAUGCAUCUCCAACACAUUUAGGUAUGUAUGUAAACUACUAUCUGCAGCAGGGUAAGAUUAUAUUAGAAUCAUCAAGUACCUUGUACCAAGUAAAGAGUAAUCAUCAAGUACCAAGUAAAGAAUAUUACUAAGAAUCAUGCCUAGCUUUCUAACCAACUUGCAGAUUUCUUCUCCCCUGCAUAGGUAUCUAGGAAGACCCAAAAUCGUACAGCUUAAAAUUCAGCGAGAUGCAUUGCAUCCUUCAACCAAGGAACAGUCGUUGCCAUCCCCUCUGCAUACAGGAAAUGGCCACCAAUCCACCUUCUUCCUGAAAAGCAGAGCAAAGAAGAACAGAGUAGAGAUAUAAUGGGUGAUACACUUGAAGG